Long non-coding RNA from Rhineura floridana, 1256 nucleotides. RefSeq lists it as uncharacterized. The record is from RefSeq and is a predicted model, not a curated record. Lineage: Eukaryota; Metazoa; Chordata; Lepidosauria; Squamata; Rhineuridae. The transcript has 3 exons.
CAGAACAGCACAUUGUACGCACCUGUCCUAAACUUCAGUAGUUUUUCUUUUUAAAAAAAAUUCUCAUUGUAUUUUCUAUAUGUGCCCUUAGUCUAGGACUGAGAAGUCUCCGUCCUAACCGGUUUGGCUUCCUUAUCUCUUUCUCACACGUCCCUUCGGCAAGCUACUCCUUAUCUUCCAAAUCCAGCUAACCUUUAACAAGCCUCCCUGGAAUGUAAACUCAGAACCCACCGUUACCUGGAGGUUUGUUAGCCGGACUAUACACCGCACAGAGAUUCAAAGCUGCCGCCUUCUCCUUCACGGUGGCCAUAGCGCCCGCCGGUUUCUGCCACCGCGUCUCCGAACGCGAUCGAGAGUUCACGGGCUUCUUGCUGAGAGAAAUAGGCGGUGCCUACAGGCGGAGGCUAUGCUUAUUGGUUCACAUUCGUAGUGGGGGCGGUGCCUACUCUGUAUUUAACAUUCCAAACGGAGGGGCGGGGUUUUCGGAAAGUAGAGUAUGAGGCGAACUACAAAACUAGCUGUUGAAACCGGUCCUCUGAAACUACAUCUCACGGUUUUUGCUGUUAUAGUGAAGUGACUCCAGCACCUCUGGCUGUGUCAACUGGACAUCUUUCAGUAAAUCUUUUACCACCUUUUAUCUUGGUGUGCUCCCAACACUCCUGCUCAUUCCCGCUAUCUCCUGGCUUGAUCACCCAGGAGUGGCUUUCGGUUCAUUGGAAACCUAGACGUCCCUGGAAGCUUAUCAGAGGCACCUCCAUGAAAAAAAAAGUCAGUGGACCAUUGUUCCUGGAAUACACCUGGCCAGCCUCCUAAAGCUGCAGAGCUUUCCCUGCAAUACACAGCCACAAAAGAUGUUGGGUGUGUUCAAAGAUGCACCCACUGGAUAUGGGGCAACAGCUAGGCCUAAUAGGCCUCACUAAUGUUCUACAUAAAAUAUGUACCCUAGAACAGACCCCUUUUGCAAUGUAUAGUCAUUCCUUGAAACACAUGGGAGGCCAAACAACUUAAAAGGGUUCUCUGAACACAGGAAGUUUGAACGUCAUCUGUCUAGCAAGACAGAAGUGUAUUUUAUGUUCUACUUCCAUAAUCCCAAGAAAGCUUCUUAUGCAUUGUUCACUUGACAAAGUUGCCAUCUACUCGUCCUAAGAAUAAAAAGGUGAAUACCUAAUCCUGCAAAGUUACUCAGAAGUAAGUCCCAUUGAUUUCAAUGAGACUUAUUCCUAGGUAAGUGCAUACAGGAUUGCACCCUCAGUAAA